Zingiber officinale is the source of this 1080-nucleotide long non-coding RNA. RefSeq lists it as uncharacterized. The record is from RefSeq and is a predicted model, not a curated record. The transcript has 4 exons. Lineage: Eukaryota; Viridiplantae; Streptophyta; Magnoliopsida; Zingiberales; Zingiberaceae.
CGCUUGUGGCUCAGCGGGCGGUUCGUCGAUUCGAGUGCUCCGAACGUACGCAAUCCGAUCGACGUCCAACGACCGGAUUCGCUGUUCCGUUCGAAAGUCGGAAGAGUGGCGAUUCCAGCGAGAUGAGAGCUCCAGCUUCCCGAUCUUCCUCCGGGUUGGGGUUCCUCGAAGAUUUCCAACCCAGUUGGUUUCUAAGUGUGUAUAAGUUGUGCUCCUAAUUUACUUGGUAGACGAACCAUGGGGAAAGUUGUCUACCUCCAAGAAUAGUCGGGUGAAGCCUGAAGACCUCGAUUAUCAAUACAAAGAUCACCGUUAAAUUUUACCAUCGGUUUCAGUAAAACCAGAAGCUAAUUUUUUCUCCUAUUCCCUACAGCUUACUUUUAAUGCCAAUGGAGUUGAAUCUGUACCUUCUAUGCUUCAACGCAAUUAUGCUCUAAAUUUUAGAGAAGCACCACAUGCUUUUGUUAGAAGGGGCUGAAGGCACUGUAUGGUGAUUCAGUCGAUGGGAUUCAGGCACUCAGAACUGUUUCACACAAACCAUAUAAACCAUAAUUUGUGAUCAUGGUUUACAGCUGAACCACCAGCCGUCAAACUGGAGUUGCCUGUGGAUCCAAACGAGCCCUGAUACUGUAUGUAACCAAGUUAGCUUCGGCAACAUGGUUGCUCCUGACAACCCCGGUGUAUGCUAUACCGUCUUUGGUCUGAGCUUGUCGUGCAAAUUCUUUUACUGCAGUGCAAGAUAGAAUGGUUCCAUUUUAGUGUGUUGGUCUCCAAGAGCAUCCUAAGGGCAAAUGUUAUUGUUCCAACUGCAUCUGCUACUUUCGUCACACCGAAACAUCUCGAGAUCAUGAAUGAAUAACUUAUCUGAAUCAUUCAGAGACAACUUAGUUUCUGUUUCAAUCUGUGAACUUACUAUCUUUUUAGUAUUCUUCAGAAUCUUUGUAAAUUAUAGGACAUGGAUUGCAAGAUGAUCAGAUGACCAUGCUCUUUAUGUUCCCUUUUGAGAGCAAUUAAAGGCAACAAUAAGUUCACUAUCUGUAUCUAAAUGUAUGAUUUUUUUUAAAGUUGUUUAAUGUUUAA